AGAGUUUGAUCAUGGCUCAGGAUGAACGCUGGCGGCGUGGAUUAGGCAUGCAAGUCAAGGGGGCCGCAAGCAACCGGCAGCGAGGUAGUAAUAUAUAGGAACGCACCGAAGAGUCUGGCAUAGCUCGUCGAAAGACGGGGUAAUUCCGGAUAGUCUCGCAAGAGUAAAGAUUUAUCGCUCUUCGAGCGGCCUGUACAGUAUCAGCUAGUUGGUAGGGUAAUGGCCUACCAAGGCUAUGACGCUUAGGAGAGCUGAGAGGCUGACCUCCACCGAUGGAACUGAGACACGGUCCAUACACCUACGGGUGGCUGCAGUCGAGAAUAUUCCGCAAUGGACGAAAGUCUGACGGAGCGACGCCGCGUGAUGGAUGAAGUCCUUCGGGACGUAAACAUCUUUUAUGAGGGAGGAAUUUUAUUGACGUUACCUCAUGAAUAAGGGGCUUCAAAUCUCGUGCCAGCAGAAGCGGUAAUACGAGAGCCCCAAGCGUUAUCCGGAAUUAUUGGGCGUAAAGGGUAUGUAGGCGGCAUUGUUAGUCUUUCGUUAAAUUCUUCGGCUUAACCGGGGACCUGCGAGAGAUACGGCAACGCUAGAGGAUGCGAGAGGUACAUGGAACUCAUAGUGUAGGGGUGAAAUCCGUUGAUAUUAUGGGGAACACCGAAUGCGAAGGCNUGUACUGGCGCACUCCUGACGCUGAAAUACGAAAGCGUGGGUAGCGAAUGGGAUUAGAUACCCUAGUAGUCC
This 741-nucleotide ribosomal RNA is filed under the name uncultured bacterium. Its description in RNAcentral is "bacterial SSU rRNA". It matches the Rfam family "Bacterial small subunit ribosomal RNA", at positions 8 to 796 of the family's 1533-position model. The record is from RNAcentral.